CGCGGCCUAUCAGCUUGUUGGUGAGGUAAUGGCUCACCAAGGCGACGACGGGUAGCCGGCCUGAGAGGGCGACCGGCCACACUGGGACUGAGACACGGCCCAGACUCCUACGGGAGGCAGCAGUGGGGAAUAUUGGGCAAUGGAGGAAACUCUGACCCAGCGACGCCGCGUGCGGGAUGAAGGCCUUCGGGUUGUAAACCGCUUUCAGCAGGGAAGAAGCGAAAGUGACGGUACCUGCAGAAGAAGCACCGGCUAACUAUGUGCCAGCAGCCGCGGUAAUACAUAGGGUGCAAGCGUUGUCCGGAAUUAUUGGGCGUAAAGAGCUCGUAGGUGGUUCGUCACGUCGGAUGUGAAACUCUGGGGCUUAACCCCAGACCUGCAUUCGAUACGGGCGAGCUUGAGUAUGGUAGGGGAGUCUGGAAUUCCUGGUGUAGCGGUGGAAUGCGCAGAUAUCAGGAGGAACACCAAUGGCGAAGGCAGGACUCUGGGCCAUUACUGACACUGAGGAGCGAAAGCGUGGGGAGCGAACAGGAUUAGAUACCCUGGUAGUCCACGCCGUAAACGGUGGGCACUAGUUGUGGGGACCUUCCACGGUCUCUGCGACGCAGCUAACGCAUUAAGUGCCCCGCCUGGGGAGUACGG
RNAcentral lists this ribosomal RNA (642 nucleotides) under uncultured marine bacterium. RNAcentral's name for it is "bacterial SSU rRNA". It matches the Rfam family "Bacterial small subunit ribosomal RNA", at positions 232 to 885 of the family's 1533-position model. RNAcentral also lists the same sequence under 1 other name. The record is from RNAcentral.